This 460-nucleotide ribosomal RNA is filed under the name uncultured bacterium. RNAcentral's name for it is "partial 16S ribosomal RNA". It matches the Rfam family "Bacterial small subunit ribosomal RNA", at positions 338 to 795 of the family's 1533-position model. The record is from RNAcentral.
CCUACGGGGGGCAGCAGUGAGGAAUAUUGGUCAAUGGGCGCGAGCCUGAACCAGCCAAGUAGCGUGAAGGAUGACUGCCCUAUGGGUUGUAAACUUCUUUUAUAAAGGAAUAAAGUGAGGUACGUGUGCCUUUUUGUAUGUACUUUAUGAAUAAGGAUCGGCUAACUCCGUGCCAGCAGCCGCGGUAAUACGGAGGAUCCGAGCGUUAUCCGGAUUUAUUGGGUUUAAAGGGAGCGUAGGUGGGUUGUUAAGUGAGUUGUGAAAGUUUGCGGCUCAACCGUAAAAUUGCAAUUGAUACUGGCAGCCUUGAGUACAGUUGAGGUAGGCGGAAUGCGUGGUGUAGCGGUGAAAUGCUUAGAUAUCACGCAGAACUCCGAUUGCGAAGGCAGCUUACUAAACUGCCACUGACAUUGAUGCUCGAAAGUGUGGGUAUCAAACAGGAUUAGAUACCCUUGUAGUC